CGUAGGUGGCAAGCGUUGUCCGGAAUUAUUGGGCGUAAAGCGCGCGCAGGCGGUCCUUUAAGUCUGAUGUGAAAGCCCACGGCUCAACCGUGGAGGGUCAUUGGAAACUGGGGGACUUGAGUACAGAAGAGGAAAGCGGAAUUCCACGUGUAGCGGUGAAAUGCGUAGAGAUGUGGAGGAACACCAGUGGCGAAGGCGGCUUUCUGGUCUGUAACUGACGCUGAGGCGCGAAAGCGUGGGGAGCAAACAGGAUUAGAUACCCUGGUAGUCCACGCCGUAAACGAUGAGUGCUAAGUGUUAGAGGGUUUCCGCCCUUUAGUGCUGCAGCUAACGCAUUAAGCACUCCGCCUGGGGAGUACGGCCGCAAGGCUG
Molecule: ribosomal RNA, 372 nt
Filed under: uncultured organism
Description: bacterial SSU rRNA
Rfam family: Bacterial small subunit ribosomal RNA
Source: RNAcentral